Molecule: ribosomal RNA, 492 nt
Filed under: uncultured bacterium
Lineage: Bacteria
Description: partial 16S ribosomal RNA
Rfam family: Bacterial small subunit ribosomal RNA
Source: RNAcentral
AGUGAACGCUGGCGGUAGGCCUAACACAUGCAAGUCGAACGGCAGCACAGUAAGAGCUUGCUCUUACGGGUGGCGAGUGGCGGACGGGUGAGGAAUACAUCGGAAUCUACUUUUUCGUGGGGGAUAACGUAGGGAAACUUACGCUAAUACCGCAUACGACCUACGGGUGAAAGCAGGGGAUCUUCGGACCUUGCGCGAUUGAAUGAGCCGAUGUCGGAUUAGCUAGUUGGCGGGGCAAAGGCCCACCAAGGCGACGAUCCGUAGCUGGUCUGAGAGGAUGAUCAGCCACACUGGAACGGAGACACGGUCCAGAGUCCUACGGGAGGCAGCAGUGGGGAAUAUUGGACAAUGGGCGCAAGCCUGAUCCAGCCAUACCGCGUGGGUGAAGAGGGCCUUCGGGUUGUAAAGCCCUUUUGUUGGGAAAGAAAAGCAGCAGGUUAAUACCCCGCUGUUCUGACGGUACCCAAAGAAUAAGCACCGGCUAACUUCGUG